This is a long non-coding RNA of Rhododendron vialii, 789 nucleotides long. RefSeq lists it as uncharacterized. The record is from RefSeq and is a predicted model, not a curated record. The transcript has 3 exons. NCBI's taxonomy places the organism in Eukaryota, Viridiplantae, Streptophyta, Magnoliopsida, Ericales, Ericaceae.
CCCCUUCUCUACUCUUCUCUUCGUCACUUCCUCUCUCCUCCCAACACAUAGACCGACUUCCUCUCUCUCUCUCCACACUCAUUCUCGCCUCACUACAAGAAAAUACAUUCCGAAGAACCAGAAGCUCUGACUAUCACUAGCUUUCUCCGGUGAGAGAAUCGAUCACUGCCUUCUCCGGUGUCAGAAACGGUUAGCUUCGAAGCCCAAACGAGGAAUCUAAAUCCUUAAUUUUCAUCAUCGGCACAAUCGUUUAGGAUGCGUUUUGUUAGCCCCGACCCUACAAUGAUUUCCAAUUAUCUUACACACAUGCGAAGGAAUCUGCAAAAGCUUCAAUAGAUACAAUUGAGAUGGCAUAUCCGAAGGCAAAAUUGGUUCUUGUGGUUGCAAUGGCACGUGACAAAGACCAUUCGGGCUUUGCCAGAGAACUACUUUCAGAUCGACGCUUUAAUGGAGUAUGCCGCAGUUAUACUUCUGGUUAUUAACUAUGAAGAUCAAAGAUAUUGUGGACGUGCUUGGAUGUUUUAAGGUUAUCCGUUUGUUGAAGUUAAACUUUUUGGUAUUUUGUGGCCUUGGAGUUUAGAUACAUUUUGUAGUUGGAGACGUGCCGUAUUUUUCUACUCUAAGAAUUUGGAGACAAGUUGUUAUCACCAUAUUUGGUGGACACUAUAUUUAUGAAAUUUUGGAUCUGUUUAUUGGAAUUUAUAUUAAUUGCAUUAGGUUGGUAAUUUUGUGGAUGUAAUGAUCGUUGGCUCAAAUUUAUAGGUUUUGUAGAAUGAAGAAAAAAUUUGU